GGCAGAGAAGGGCUGAGCUUUAAUGUAUGUACAUCUGUACAUACAUAUGUAUCCCGAAUUACGAAAAAACAUGUCAUGGAUGGUGACAGGAAACUUAUAAGGGAGGGAAAUGUCGAAAUCAGCUGAACAUAAACAAAUCAAACAAUGAUGACUUUGAUAGCUAACGUUUCAAAACGGAGGAAAAUUACUCAGUUAUAGCUAUUAUAAUAAAGAAGUAAUCAUCAUGAUGUAUUAGUUUACACUUUAUGACUUUGCAAUGAAUUGAUAAUUAAAACGAGUAACGGGUAUAAUGA
This is a long non-coding RNA of Drosophila erecta, 293 nucleotides long. RefSeq lists it as uncharacterized. The record is from RefSeq and is a predicted model, not a curated record. Lineage: Eukaryota; Metazoa; Arthropoda; Insecta; Diptera; Drosophilidae. The transcript has 2 exons.